This 306-nucleotide ribosomal RNA is filed under the name uncultured Oxalobacteraceae bacterium. Its description in RNAcentral is "bacterial SSU rRNA". It matches the Rfam family "Bacterial small subunit ribosomal RNA", at positions 355 to 655 of the family's 1533-position model. The record is from RNAcentral. Lineage: Bacteria; Pseudomonadati; Pseudomonadota; Betaproteobacteria; Burkholderiales; Oxalobacteraceae.
UGGGAAGUUUUGGACAAUGGGCGAAAGCCUGAUCCAGCAAUGCCGCGUGAGUGAAGAAGGCCUUCGGGUUGUAAAGCUCUUUUGUCAGGGAAGAAACGGUGUGGGCUAAUAUCCUGCACUAAUGACGGUACCUGAAGAAUAAGCACCGGCUAACUACGUGCCAGCAGCCGCGGUAAUACGUAGGGUGCAAGCGUUAAUCGGAAUUACUGGGCGUAAAGCGUGCGCAGGCGGUUUUGUAAGUUUGUCGUGAAAGCCCGGCGCAACCUGGGAAUUGCGAUGAAGACUGCAAGGCUUGAAUCUGGCAGA